Molecule: ribosomal RNA, 408 nt
Filed under: uncultured bacterium
Lineage: Bacteria
Description: partial 16S ribosomal RNA
Rfam family: Bacterial small subunit ribosomal RNA
Source: RNAcentral
GACGAACGCUGGCGGCGUGCUUAACACAUGCAAGUCGAACGGAGUGGCGAACGGGUGAGUAACAAGUGGGUGACCCGCCUCGCACUUCGGGAUAAGCGUGGGAACUUGGGUUUAAUGACGGUUAGUGGGGGAUGGGCUCGCGGCCUAUCAGCUUGUUGGUGGGGUAAUGGCCUACCAAGGCGGCGACGGGUAGCCGGCCUGAGAGGGUGGCCGGCCACAUUGGGACUGAGAUACGGCCCAGACUCCUACGGGAGGCAGCAGUGGGGAAUAUUGCACAAUGGGGGGAAGCCUGAUGCAGCGACGCCGCGUGGGGGAUGACGGCCUUCGGGUUGUAAACUCCUUUCAGCCACGACGCGGUAGUUGCAGAAGAAGCACCGGCUAACUACGUGCCAGCAGCCGCGGUAAUAC